Transfer RNA from Phytophthora infestans T30-4, 73 nucleotides. It matches the Rfam family "tRNA". Rfam says of the family: Transfer RNA (tRNA) molecules are approximately 80 nucleotides in length. Their secondary structure includes four short double-helical elements and three loops (D, anti-codon, and T loops). NCBI's taxonomy places the organism in Eukaryota, Oomycota, Peronosporomycetes, Peronosporales, Peronosporaceae. The record is from Rfam.
GUCAGUGUCGUCUAGUGGUUAGGACGCGAGCUUCACACGCUCGAGAUCGAGGGUUCGAUCCCCUCCUUUGAUA